AUGGCCAAGGCUGGUAGUAAAAUGGCACUAAUUCUUAACUUGAUUCUAGUGCUCUCUCUUGUUCUAAUGAUUUCCAUAGCUGAGAGUAGACAAGUUGGCAGUAAGAAUUAUUAUUUCCCUUUAAAUGAUUUCUUUUUAGUUUCACAUAAAUAUAUAUGAAGAAAAAAAUUGUUAGUUUUUCAUAUCUAAUACAUGCAUUCAUAUUUGCAGUUGGAUUUGGAGGGAAAAAACCUGCCGCAUUUUGCAGUGCAGUUUAUGGUGCAGAGGAGGGUGAUACGUGUACUUCUGUUAGCGAGAUGUUCAAUUUGAGUUUUGAUUUCUUCCUUUCUAUCAACCCUAAUAUCAACUGCGACAACUUCUUUGUGGGUCAAUGGCUUUGUACUGAAGGGAGUGCCUGAGUUGCAAGUUGCAACAGAUAUUGAUCAUGGUCAAUUGAGUAAACACUUAAUUGCACUAAUAAAGAGGAUAGAGCUUUGAUGUCCUCCCAAUGUAUUUUCAUUACUUUGUCAAUUAAAGAUGGACAAUUGUUAUUAUUGGCCAUCAGUGUUUAGUGGUGUUUUAUGGUUUCUUUCCUCACCUUGUCAUAACUAUGGUGAUUAGGGAGAAUGGGGAAGAAGCUCAAGCUUUGAAUUUCAGAAAUUUUGAAUAAUGAAGUAUUACAUUUUGAAUAAUGCAGUUGGAUUUGGAGGGAAAAAACCUGCCGCAUUUUGCAGUGCAGUUUAUGGUGCAGAGGAGGGUGAUACGUGUACUUCUGUUAGCGAGAUGUUCAAUUUGAGUUUUGAUUUCUUCCUUUCUAUCAACCCUAAUAUCAACUGCGACAACUUCUUUGUGGGUCAAUGGCUUUGUACUGAAGGGAGUGCCUGAGUUGCAAGUUGCAACAGAUAUUGAUCAUGGUCAAUUGAGUAAACACUUAAUUGCACUAAUAAAGAGGAUAGAGCUUUGAUGUCCUCCCAAUGUAUUUUCAUUACUUUGUCAAUUAAAGAUGGACAAUUGUUAUUAUUGGCCAUCAGUGUUUAGUGGUGUUUUAUGGUUUCUUUCCUCACCUUGUCAUAACUAUGGUGAUUAGGGAGAAUGGGGAAGAAGCUCAAGCUUUGAAUUUCAGAAAUUUUGAAUAAUGAAGUAUUACAUUUUGUUUGAUUACUCACAAUUAGUUCGAUACAGCUAAUCCGAACAAAAAUAAAAACACACGUAAUGGUUAUGUUCAUUUGCAUGUAUCAUGUUGAAGAAAAAUGUGAACCUCCCAACAUAAUUUCAUCACCGCUAAUUAAAUAAUGAGGUUUUAUUAAUUUAGGUUCGACCCAUUUGAGACGCAGUGUCUCUUAAUUACAAUCUCUUGCUUCAAGAAAACACCCUUUGAUUCCAUCAUAAAGAAACAAAAUGUGUGUAUUUGGUUUUGCGGCUACUCCCAAGUCCAAUCUCAAGGUGCUUACAUAUCUCUUCCAAGAAUCAAGUCACUCGUAGUUCAAAGAUUUGCAAUGAAUAAAUGACUCAUUGCAAAAAGGAGAAUUUGAAUGAAUUUGAUUGAAAAAGUGUUUGAGUGAAUUUAGUUGAAUAAACUAGGGAUUUGAUUUUGAUGUGUGUUUGGGGUGAAUUUGGUUAAGAAUAAACUAGAGAUUCUGUUUGGAUUUGAGAUUUGGAGAAUUUGGUUAAUGUAACCAGAGAUUCAAAUUUGGUUGCAGUUGCAUCUAUUAGGAUGCUAGACUGCCUACGUACUCUUGAUGUGAUCAAAUCAACUUAGUUCAGAAUUUUAGAAAUUAAUGGGUAAGUGUGGCCCAAUAGUUUAGAAUUUGUGUCUUUGAGACAAUUUGGAGAUUUUCAUAGGUAGAUGACCUAUUGGAAAAUUUGGAAAUAAAUGAGUAAGUGUGGCCCCCUAAUUGGGAAUUAGUGUUUGAGAUAUUUGAAUUUAAUCUCAUGGAAAUUUGCAUGGGUAGAUGACCCACAGAAAAAUUGGAUGGCUUUGUACCAUUUUCCUUAUUGUCAAUGUCCAAGAAAAAUAAUAAGCAAUUUUGAUUAACCCACUAAUUUUCUAAAAUUGACAUUUGCAUUUGGACCCAAAUAUGGCUAUGAGGACUUUUAAAAUUGAUCCAUUAACCAUAUAAGCACUUUGGGCCUCUGUAAAUUUAAUGAGUAAUUAUUUGGGUAACCCAUUAAAUAUUUUAGGCUUUUGAGAAUUAAUGGGCAAAUAUUUUUGACAACCCAUUAAUCUAUUUCGGGCCUUUGAUAUUUGAAAUCGAUUAGCCCAUGAACAAGGAAUCCAAAUCAUAAGGACUGCAGCUGGUAGCUAUCAAUUGAGCCAAACCGAUAGCUAAGAGUUUGCUUGCAACCAGGCUUGUAACUCCCAUAUCUACUCGGAGUAGUUGAGAUCAAUCCAAGUUGUGACACUCCUAUAUUCAUAUGGAGUAUUUGAGAUUAACUCAAAUAUCUCACCAUAAAUCUUCGACCUUUUAAAAUACCAAAUAAAAGCUUAAAAAAAAAAAACAAACAAACAAUUGAUGCACAACAGGCCGCGAGAGAAACCGACAUAUAGGUUCGCUCUCUUUUUUUUUUUUUUUUUUUUUUUGGUUUUUCUUGUCUUCAAAGAAGUGGAGAUAUCAAGGAAAUAGACCAUGCAACAUGCCCCCAACUCUGAUAAUUUCCGCCCCUCUCCUUUUGUUUGUUUGAUUGUUUUCUUGGAAGGCAGCUAACUUCUUUCUUCUUUUUCUUUUCAUGCAGUGUACUCAGAUAGAAAAAGAAAUUGAUACAAUUUUUUCAAACAGAGAGGGAGAUAAUUGGUCAGAGUGUCCAAGAGGUAGAGGUAUAACCCCUUUUUGCCCAUUUAUAACAUAACAAAAGGGAUUUUAACUUCUUUUAAAUUACAAAAUUGUCAUUGAUUUCUUAAAACAAACUCAACCCAAAAACCUUAUAAAAAGGCCCAAAACAUUCAAUAGGGCAUCAAAGUAACUUAAUAAUUAAAAUUAAAUUCAAUAGAGCCAGCUGUCAUUUUAUGGGUUUGUUUAUAUAAAUUAAAUAGUGUAUGACUUAUUUAUAGUUUUAUGCUAAGAAUGGGUAUAUGACUGAAUAUCUCUUUUUUAUUUGCUUCUGCACCUUUGCUUCAAUUCUUUUUUUCUUUGCUGCACUUGGUGGUAGAGAAUUAAUUUCUCAUUUUUCAUUUGCAGCUUAUUCAGGCAGAGAGAAUGGGAACUAACAGGACAAAAGUAAAGACCCAUUUCUUUUGCUAAACCUAAUUGUCAUGUAUCUUUGAACCCAUUUUUCUAGAGGUUCUGGGUUUCUCACCCUAUGGAUUUUUUCCAUCCAAUUAAUUUCAGGGUUUCUCACCCAUGGAUUUGCAUCCAAAUAAUUUCGGGAUUUCUCACCCAUGGAUUUGCAUCCAAGUAAUUUUAGAGUUUUUCACCUAUGGAUUUACGGCAUGUUAUGCCUAACAUAGAAAAGAAAAGGGAUAUUCAUUGAAAUGUCACCUGAACUUAUACCUUAGUUUCAAUUUGUCACAUGAAUUUUUCAAAAUCCAUGAUUUGUCACCUGACUUUAACAUCAUCCAAUUUUUCAACUAUUUUCAAGGGUAUUUUAGUCUUUUUAGUUCAAGAGCAUUUUAAAAAUGGAAAAAUCAUUAUUAAAAAAAAAAAAAAAAGACCCUUGAAAAUUAUAAAAAUUAUAUAUCUUUUUCACAUUUAACUUUUAUUCUUUUAAUAAUAAUUUUUUCCAUUUUUAAAAUAUCCUUGAAAAUGAAAAGACUAAAAUACCCUUGAAAAUAGAUGGAAAAUUGGAUGAUGUUAAACUCAGGUGACAAAUCAUGAAUUUUGAAAAAUUUAGGUGACAUUUCACUCAAAUUUUUUUUCAAGUGACAAAUUAAAACUAAGGUAUAAGUUCAGGUGAUAUUUAAACAAAUAUCCCAAAAGAAAAUAGAGGUGACAGUAUACCUGUAGCAAUUUUUUUCUUUUCUUUGCACUGCUCUAAUUUCUCCAGCAAUCUUUUUUAAUCUAUCGACAACUUCCUCCUUUUCUUUUCUUUUCUUUUCUUUUCUUUUUUCUGUUGUAGCCCUUUUAUGGGCCAACUGGAUAAGAUUCCCUUGAACAAAUAACAGUUUUGAAUUUCAAAUAAGUGCUGAUCAGAUUCAACCUCUCGUUUCAGGAACUUGUGAGUCUACUAAUUAUGCUCAAGCUGCUUCUGAUCCCCAUUGGCAACUUGCCAUGAAAGCCGAGUUGGAUGCAUUGCAACUCAAUCGUACUUGGACACUUGUUACUUUACCGCCUGGCCACAAACCCAUUGGCUGCAAAUUGGUUUAUAAAAUCAAAUACAAUUCAGAUGGUUCCAAAUUUCAAAGUUCCCUUUUUAUUUUCAUGUUUUUAUUUUCUCUCUCUUUUUCACAUUAUUGCUACCCCUCGUAAAUCUCUUUUAUUGUCUUCUUUUGACACUAAAUUUUGUAAUAAUAAACUACAAUUCAAAUUUUUUUAGUACGCAAAAUACAUUUAAUUGAAUCAACAUUUUUUGCUUGUAUUAAUGAUGAAUAAAUAGGUAAUGUCAUAUAUAAAAUAAUGGAGUAUCGUAAUUAAAUUUAGGGAUUUUGUAUCAAGUAAAAAAUUAAUUUAAAUAUCACAACUAUAAAGAAAAACAUUUCAAUAUUUAAGAUGCUCCUUCUGUACAAAGUUUUUGACUCCCCCACCGUUGAGAAGAUACCAGCACAAAAACAAAACUGGCGACACCACCGCUGAGAAGACAGAGACAAAGUGUUGAGGGGCUCAUGAAAACACCCCUGCCAUGACAAUCCCAGAAUAAUAGUAUCAUGAAUGGACCCCCUUGUGUGGUUAUCAAAGGCCAGCCACCACCACCACCGCCAUCAACCUUACCAUUCUUAGCCCUCAAUUCAAGAACUCACACAGCUUUGUUUCAUCGGGACGGAGGGCUAAAUCAGCGAGGCACAUGGCUGGACAUAAGAGUGGGAAAUGCUGGCCACGUUUGAAAGGUAUUUGCCAUUGAAAAUAUUUAUUAAAAAAAAAAAAAAAAAAGAAAAAUGACAUACCGCUAUCAUCAGUAAAUUAAAAAAAAAAUCAUAAUUAACCAAAGUUUGUUAAUUCACUUUCCAUUUUAAAUUAUUCUUUAGUGUCAUUGUUCAUACAGCGGUGGUAUACAGUAGAGUAAGACGGAGAAGCAAAUGGAGAAGCCGGCCCUCUUGAAUCAAAGGAAUCAUAGUAAUGUUCCAAGCUGGCUCUCUCUAUAUAUAUAGACUCCUAGCAACUCUUUUACAGCACAACCCAAGAAACACACAGUUUAUACUUCAUACUCAGAGGAAGAAGGUGAAAAAAAUGGCCAAGGCUGGUAGCAAAAUGGCACUAAUUCUUAACGUGAUUCUAGUGCUCUCUCUUGUUCUAAUGAUUUCCAUAGCUGAGAGUAGACAAGUUGGCAGUAACAGUAAGAAUUAUUAUCUUAACUUAAUUCCUUAUUUCCCUUGAAAUGCUUUCUUUUUAGUUUCACAUAAAUAUAUAUAUGAAGAAAAAAAAAUUUAGUUUUUCAUAUCUAAUACAUGCAUUCAUUUUUGCAGUUGGAUUUGGAGGGAAAACAGUUGGAUUUGGAGGGAAAAAACCUGCCGCAGUUUGCGCUGCAGUUUAUGGUGCAGAGGAGGGUGAUACGUGUACUUCUGUUAGCGAGAUGUUCAAUUUGAGUUUUGAUUUCUUCCUUUCUAUCAACCCUAAUAUCAACUGCGACAACUUCUUUGUGGGUCAAUGGCUUUGUACUGCAGGGAGUGCC
This 5739-nucleotide long non-coding RNA is filed under the name Prunus dulcis (almond). The record is from RNAcentral. Lineage: Eukaryota; Viridiplantae; Streptophyta; Magnoliopsida; Rosales; Rosaceae.